RNAcentral lists this ribosomal RNA (495 nucleotides) under uncultured bacterium. Its description in RNAcentral is "partial 16S ribosomal RNA". It matches the Rfam family "Bacterial small subunit ribosomal RNA", at positions 28 to 507 of the family's 1533-position model. The record is from RNAcentral.
GAUGAACGCUGGCGGCGUGCCUAAUACAUGCAAGUAGAACGCUGAAGGAGGAGCUUGCUCUUCUGGAUGAGUUGCGAACGGGUGAGUAACGCGUAGGUAACCUGCCUGGUAGCGGGGGAUAACUAUUGGAAACGAUAGCUAAUACCGCAUGACAACAGUUAUUGCAUGAUAACUGUUUAAAAGGGGCAACUGCUCCACUACCAGAUGGACCUGCGUUGUAUUAGCUAGUUGGUGAGGUAACGGCUCACCAAGGCGACGAUACAUAGCCGACCUGAGAGGGGGAUCGGCCACACUGGGACUGAGACACGGCCCAGACUCCUACGGGAGGCAGCAGUAGGGAAUCUUCGGCAAUGGACGGAAGUCUGACCGAGCAACGCCGCGUGAGUGAAGAAGGUUUUCGGAUCGUAAAGCUCUGUUGUAAGAGAAGAACGAGUGUGAGAGUGGAAAGUUCACACUGUGACGGUAUCUUACCAGAAAGGGACGGCUAACUACGUG